UACGAAGGGGGCUAGCGUUGCUCGGAAUUACUGGGCGUAAAGCGCACGUAGGCGGCUUUCUAAGUCGGGGGUGAAAUCCUGGAGCUCAACUCCAGAACUGCCUUCGAUACUGGAGAGCUUGAGUCCGGGAGAGGUGAGUGGAACUGCGAGUGUAGAGGUGAAAUUCGUAGAUAUUCGCAAGAACACCAGUGGCGAAGGCGGCUUACUGGACCGGUUCUGACGCUGAGGCGCGAAAGCGUGGGGAGCAAACAGG
RNAcentral lists this ribosomal RNA (253 nucleotides) under uncultured bacterium. Its description in RNAcentral is "partial 16S ribosomal RNA". It matches the Rfam family "Bacterial small subunit ribosomal RNA", at positions 524 to 776 of the family's 1533-position model. The record is from RNAcentral.